AGGGAUGGCCGUUAAUUUGUCCACAUUUUACAGCUUUAUUGGAAUCUGAAAUCUUCACAGCAUUGGUCAUGAAUGAAUAGGACAUGUUAGACUGGGAAGAAGAUGCUGAUGAGUAUAUACGGAAGAAUUUUCCUACAGAUAUAGACGAAGUUGGUGGAUGGAGGAUUUAUUCACUGCCAGCAAAAGUGCAGUAAACUUACUUGGUGUUAUUUCAAUGUCAAAGGGGCCACACCAAUGGAGACUUCCAUUGACAGUUUAUCAGCCAAGAGGAAAAAAGAACAAAAGAAGCAAUCAUAGCCGUUCUAAGGGAGAGUUAUUGGUGCUUCUGUUUUCGUCUAAGUUUCUCAUUCCUUCUGUUUCCAACGUGUCUCAAAAAAAAGUCCUGACCUAUAGGUCUUAAAAUGGUGGAUCCUAGGCUUUUGAGAUAACUAUUCAAUUGAUUCAGUUUCUAAGGAUUGUCAAACACUGCAUUGGGUUUUUUUUUGGCCAGCAUAUGGCUACUAUCCUAGUUUUAUUGUAGAUAUAUAUGAUACUCGAAGCAUGAAGUCUGAAGGUUGGAGCCAAGGUUUUCAGGUAAACAAUGAUGCUUAGCUGAGAGUCCGGAG
Long non-coding RNA from Trifolium pratense (red clover), 605 nucleotides. RefSeq lists it as uncharacterized. The record is from RefSeq and is a predicted model, not a curated record. The transcript has 6 exons. Lineage: Eukaryota; Viridiplantae; Streptophyta; Magnoliopsida; Fabales; Fabaceae.